RNAcentral lists this non-coding RNA (980 nucleotides) under Otus mindorensis. RNAcentral's name for it is "partial 12S ribosomal RNA". It matches the Rfam family "Bacterial small subunit ribosomal RNA". Lineage: Eukaryota; Metazoa; Chordata; Aves; Strigiformes; Strigidae. The record is from RNAcentral.
AGAGACUUAGUCCCAACCUUACAGUUAGUUCUUGCUAGACAUAUACAUGCAAGUAUCCGCACCCCAGUGUAAAUGCCCCUCCCCGUCCACUCAAACCGACAAGUAGGCAGCCGGUAUCAGGCACACACCAUAGUAGCCCAAGACACCUUCAUCCGGCCACACCCCCAAGGGUACUCAGCAGUAAUUAACAUUAAGCAAUAAACGAAAGCUUGACUUAGUUAUAGCAAUCCGCACCAGGGUGGUUAAAUCUCGUGCCAGCCACCGCGGUCACACAAGAGACCCAAACUAACCGUACACGGCGUAAAGAGUGGAACCACCACAUCUCUCAACCAACUAAGGCUAAAAUAUAACCAAGCCGUCAUAAGCCCACGAUAUACUAAAAACCACCAUCAAAACGACCUUAGAAGCCCCUAGAUGAACAAAUCCCACGAAAGCCAGGACUCAAACUGGGAUUAGAUACCCCACUAUGCCUGGCCCUAAAUCCUGAUGUUCAACUACUACAAGAACAUCCGCCAGGGAACUACGAGCGUAAACGUUUAAAACCUUAAGGACUUGGCGGUGCCCAAACCCACCUAGAGGAGCCUGUCCUAUAAUCGAUAACCCACGAUACACCCGACCAUCUCUUGCCAAACAGCCUACAUACCGCCGUCGUCAGCCCACCUCUUGAGAGCACAACAGUGAGCCUAACAGCCCCCACCCGCUAAAAAGACAGGUCAAGGUAUAGCCCAUGAGAUGGAAGAGAUGGGCUACAUUUUCUAACAAUAGGAAACCCACAAAAGGGGACAUGAAAAUCCCCCAGAAGGCGGAUUUAGAAGUAAAGACGAGACCAUAAAGCUCUCUUUAACCCGGCCCCGGGCACGUACAUACCGCCCGUCACCCUCCUCGCAAGCCACAACCCAACAGAACAUAUACUGUCACACAGGCUAAAGACGAGGUAAGUCGUAACAAGGUAAGUGUACCGGAAGGUGUACUUAGCACAC